RNAcentral lists this ribosomal RNA (839 nucleotides) under uncultured euryarchaeote. Its description in RNAcentral is "bacterial SSU rRNA". It matches the Rfam family "Archaeal small subunit ribosomal RNA", at positions 21 to 865 of the family's 1478-position model. Lineage: Archaea; Methanobacteriati; Methanobacteriota. The record is from RNAcentral.
CGGCCACCGCUAUUGGUAUUCGAUUAAGACAUGCGAGUCGAGAGACGUAAGGUCUCGGCGGACCGCUGAGUAACACGCGGAUAACAUGCCCUGGGGUGGGGGAUAACCUCGGGAAACUGAGAAUAAUACCCCAUAGGUUUAGGGUGCUGGAAUGCCUCUAUGCUGAAAACUCCGGUGCCCCAGGAUUGGUCUGCGGCUUAUCAGGUUGUAGUGGGUGUAACGGACCCACUAGCCUAUGACGAGUAUGGGCCUUGAGAGAGGAAGCCCACAGAUGGACUCUGAGACAUGAGUCCAGGCCCUACGGGGCGCAGCAGUCGCGAAAACUUCACAAUGGGAGAAAUCCCGAUGAGGGAAUACCAAGUGCCAGCACUUUUGUGUUGGCUGUUCUCUUGUCUAAAAAACAGGAGAAGUAAGGGCCGGGUAAGACGGGUGCCAGCCGCCGCGGUAAUACCCGCGGCCCGAGUGGUGGUCGAUAUUAUUGAGCCUAAAACGUCCGUAGCCGGUCUCAUAAAUCCUUGGGUAAAUCGGCCAGCUUAACUGUCCGAAGUCCGAGGAGACUGUGAGACUUGGGAUCGGGAGAGGUCAGAGGUACUUCUGGGGUAGGGGUAAAAUCCUGUAAUCCUGGAAGGACCACCGGUGGCGAAGGCGUCUGACUAGAACGAAUUCGACGGUGAGGGACGAAGCCCUGGGGCGCAAACGGGAUUAGAUACCCCGGUAGUCCAGGGUGUAAACGCUGCGGGCUUGGUGUUGGGGGUCCUUUGUGGGCGCCCAGUGCCGGAGAGAAGUUGUUAAGCCUGCUGCUUGGGGAGUACGUCCGCAAGGAUGAAACUUAAAGGAAU